RNAcentral lists this long non-coding RNA (591 nucleotides) under Brassica napus (rape). RNAcentral's name for it is "long non-coding RNA (BNAP_LNC005132)". Lineage: Eukaryota; Viridiplantae; Streptophyta; Magnoliopsida; Brassicales; Brassicaceae. The record is from RNAcentral.
UUUUUUCUUUCGUUCUAUUACUUUUUUAUGUCUGGUUAUUAUGUCAUUACCAAUUAUGAGAAAUAUUACAUAAACGAUAUUACAGCUGACAAUUUUAUCUCUCUUAUGAGGAUUCAUGUCUGACUACAUCACUCUGAGCCGUCUUGUGAAAUUCAUUUGUGACGGUAUUUUUUGCGUCUUGCUGAAAAUCUUCUGUAAGCACUUUUUCUGAAAAUUAAAACUCAGACCUCUUUAUGUAAAAAUUAUGUCGCCUAAGAUUCGAACCCCAGAUUUAAAUGUACAAACCUUUAAAUAAUGAUCACUAGGGCACUGUGCUUCCAUAUUACUUUUUUUCUAACGCUGAUUUAUUAGGAUAUUACAAUUAUGAGAAAGAUUACAUAGAUGAUUCGACAACCGACAAUACUAUCUGCCUUAUAAGGAUUUAUGCUUAACUGCAUCACCAGAGCUGCCCUACAAAAAUCCACGCCUGACUGGGUUUACUUGCACCAUGUUGAAGAUCUCUUGUAAGCUUUCCUUCGUAGCCUGCAUAAUCCCCUAUAUAUUAUUUGAGAAGCAUUGCAACAUUUUUUUGUAGCCAUGUGUCAUCACUAG